GCGAGAGUGGCGGAAUUUGGCAGACGCGCAAGAUUCAGGAUCUUGUGAUCGUAAGAUCUUAGGGGUUCGAGUCCCCUCUCUCGCA
This 85-nucleotide transfer RNA is filed under the name bacterium. Its description in RNAcentral is "tRNA-Leu". It matches the Rfam family "tRNA". Rfam says of the family: Transfer RNA (tRNA) molecules are approximately 80 nucleotides in length. Their secondary structure includes four short double-helical elements and three loops (D, anti-codon, and T loops). Further hydrogen bonds mediate the characteristic L-shaped molecular structure. tRNAs have two regions of fundamental functional importance: the anti-codon, which is responsible for specific mRNA codon recognition, and the 3' end, to which the tRNAs corresponding amino acid is attached (by aminoacyl-tRNA synthetases). tRNAs cope with the degeneracy of the genetic code in two manners: having more than one tRNA (with a specific anti-codon) for a particular amino acid; and 'wobble' base-pairing, i.e. permitting non-standard base-pairing at the 3rd anti-codon position. RNAcentral also lists the same sequence under 1 other name. The record is from RNAcentral.